RNAcentral lists this ribosomal RNA (253 nucleotides) under uncultured bacterium. RNAcentral describes it as "partial 16S ribosomal RNA". It matches the Rfam family "Bacterial small subunit ribosomal RNA", at positions 524 to 776 of the family's 1533-position model. The record is from RNAcentral.
UACAGAGGGUGCGAGCGUUAAUCGGAAUUACUGGGCGUAAAGCGUGCGUAGACGGUUAUUUAAGUCGGGUGUGAAAGCCCCGGGCUCAACCUGGGAAUUGCAUUCGAGACUGAAUAGCUAGGGUACGGUAGAGGGAAGCGGAAUUUCCGGUGUAGCGGUGAAAUGCGUAGAUAUCGGAAGGAACAUCAGUGGCGAAAGCGGCUCCCUGGACCAGUACCGACGUUCAGGCACGAAAGCGUGGGGAGCAAACAGG